Molecule: ribosomal RNA, 267 nt
Filed under: Triticum aestivum (bread wheat)
Lineage: Eukaryota; Viridiplantae; Streptophyta; Magnoliopsida; Poales; Poaceae
Description: partial small subunit ribosomal RNA
Source: RNAcentral
GUACGUUUUUUGAGUGUCUAUUUAUUUUCGAUUGGUAUCUAUGGAUUGAUCACAAGCCGAAACAUGGUUAGAUCUCUAAUAUGUCUUGAACUUAUACUAAAUUAAAUUAAUCUAAAUCUCGUAACUUUUUCUGAUCUAUUUGAUAGUCGCCAAUUAAAAGGAGAUAUUUUCGCAAUUUUUGUUAUAGCCCUUGCGGCUGCUGAAGUCGCUAUGCUCCUGCUCCUUCUCUUCCUCCAGGUCCUGAGGUGGUACUGGUGCAUCACCUAG